UGGUGGAGUGAUUUGUCUGGUUAAUUCCGAUAACGAACGAGACCUUAACCUACUAAAUAGUCACACAAACCCUUCUGCUAUGUGGUGAUCUUGGGGUUGUGAGUCUGUGUUGUGGUCGCCCCCUACGGGGGGUCGUGGGGCUUCGGUCUCCGAUCACGGCCAGGCCGAUCCCUUGGAAUCCAUUGAUGAGUUUGUGGAUGUACUUCUUAGAGGGACUAUUCAUGUUUAGUGAAUGGAAGUUUGAGG
RNAcentral lists this ribosomal RNA (246 nucleotides) under uncultured eukaryote. RNAcentral's name for it is "partial 18S ribosomal RNA". It matches the Rfam family "Eukaryotic small subunit ribosomal RNA", at positions 1299 to 1450 of the family's 1831-position model. The record is from RNAcentral.